UUUAUAGCUAAUAUAUUAGUACAUAAUAAAUAAAUAAAUUUAUAAAUCCACGGUUCACCCACGAUCGACCCAAUAAUUCGGUGACUCGGAAGUCGUCUGGUUCAGUGUCCUACUAUGUACAAAUUUCUCUUUCUUUCCAUCUUUGUCCAUUUUCUUUUUUAUUUUAUUUAUAUAAGCUUUACCUACAAUAAAUAUAUAUAUAUAUAAAGUUGGAUUGUUUCUCUUCUCAUGCAUCAACCUCAGCAAGGAAGGAGGGGUAUUUUUAGACAUGUGGCAUGUGAAUAAUUCUGUGUUUUCGUUUGAUUUAUUCCUUUGGUGUGCUAGGCUUUUCUUUGGUCAUUUCUUUAAAAAUUGUAGAUUUUUGGAGAUUGGCUUUUUGCUAAAGGUUAUGUUCAGGCCCAGCAAGUAGGGUUGGGUCGUCUUCCUAUCUUCGACAUUCAUAGCUCUGCUCGCUGAACAAAUCACCGUAACGUCUCUUGAUAGCAUUAAAACAUAUUUUAAUCUGAUCUUUAACGUGAUUGCCCCAUUAUUUCAUCUCUCAAGCAUUCAAUCAACCUCAUCACUCCCAUAGUAACCGACGGAAGCUCGGACUAUAAAUCUCCAAUCUCCAGCGAUGAACAGCACAGAAUCAACCAAAUCAAGAAGAACAGACUCUGCUAAUUACCACGGCCAGCUCCUAUAAACUGCUAAUAAAAUACAUAUAUAUGCUAAUUCAUAUCUUGUAUUCUAUUUUAGCCAGGCUGUUGUCAUCCCACUUCUCCGUUUCUCAUAGGAGCGUAAUGUGAAGAAAGGAGGUGAUUCUCUGCUACUGGAAGAUAAGUGUCUCCAAUAGGGCAUAAAGAUGCAUACAAGAUUUUGAGUGCGCAAGGAAAGCAAAAUCGGUUGAAACCUCAUAGCACGUACAAAAUUUUAGUGGAAAAUCUGAUGACGACUUGCUAGAGACGGUGGUUUAAGAAGCUUUUCUGACUCUUCUACCAAUAAUAAUGUAAUUAUUUCUCUUUUUUUUUGUAGAACUUAUUUUUGUAACACCAAUUAUUUUUCAUUUAUCUCAGUCUUUCUCUGUGUAUUUGAAUCGAUGAUGAAGUCUACAAGGCAUAAUGAGACAUAUGAUUCACUC
Molecule: long non-coding RNA, 1117 nt
Organism: Brassica napus (rape)
Lineage: Eukaryota; Viridiplantae; Streptophyta; Magnoliopsida; Brassicales; Brassicaceae
Exons: 2
Source: RefSeq, a predicted model, not a curated record